AUUGAACGCUGGCGGCAGGCCUAACACAUGCAAGUCGAACGAGUGGCGGACGGGUGAGUAAUGUCUGGGAAACUGCCUGAUGGAGGGGGAUAACUACUGGAAACGGUAGCUAAUAACGCAUACCAUCGGAUGUGCCCAGAUGGGAUUAGCUAGUAGGUGGGGUAAAGGCUCACCUAGGCGACGAUCCCUAGCUGGUCUGAGAGGAUGACAAGCCAAACUGGAACUGAAACACGUGCAAGACUCCGGCGGGAGGUAGCAGUGGGGAAGAUUGCACAAUGGGCGCAAGCCUGAUGCAGCCAUGCCGCGUGUAUGAAGAAGGUCUUCGGAUUGUAAAGCACUUUAAGUUGGGAGGCGUUACCAACAGAAUAAGCACCGGCUAACUUCGUGACAGCAGCCGCGGUAAUAC
This 406-nucleotide ribosomal RNA is filed under the name uncultured bacterium. RNAcentral describes it as "partial 16S ribosomal RNA". It matches the Rfam family "Bacterial small subunit ribosomal RNA", at positions 30 to 526 of the family's 1533-position model. The record is from RNAcentral.